This 253-nucleotide ribosomal RNA is filed under the name uncultured bacterium. Its description in RNAcentral is "partial 16S ribosomal RNA". It matches the Rfam family "Bacterial small subunit ribosomal RNA", at positions 524 to 776 of the family's 1533-position model. The record is from RNAcentral.
UACGUAGGGAGCAAGCGUUGUCCGGAAUCAUUGGGCGUAAAGCGCGCGUAGGUGGCUUCGUAAGUCCGUUGUGAAAGUCAAAGGCUCAACCUUUGAAAGCCGAUGGAUACUGUGAAGCUGGAGUACGGAAGAGGCGAGUGGAAUUCCUGGUGUAGCGGUGGAAUGCGCAGAUAUCAGGAGGAACACCAAUAGCGAAGGCAGCUCGCUGGGACGUUACUGACACUGAGGCGCGAAAGCGUGGGGAGCGAACAGG